GGCCCUAUGGGUUGUAAACUGCUUUUACACCGGAGAAAACCCCCCUACUGUAGGGGGCUGAUAGUAUGGUGAGAAUAACCAUCGGCUAACUAUCUGUGCCAUGCAUCCGCGUGUAAGACGAAGGAUGCAAGCGUUAUCCGCGAUUCAUUGAGUUUAAAGGGAGCGUAGGACGGUCCGAUAACUCAGUGGUGAAAUCUCCUGGCUUAACUACGAAAUUGCCAUUGAUACUGUUGGGCUUGAGUACAGUUGCCGUUGGCGGAAUAUGACAUGUAGUGGUGAAAUACAUAGAGAUGUCAUAGAACACCGAUUGCGAAGGCAGCUAACGAAACUGUAACUGACGCUGAGGCUCGAAAGUGCGGGGAUCAAACAGGAUUAGAUACCCUGGUAGUCCGCACUGUAAACGAUGAUUACUCGCUGCUGGGAGGUAACUUUCAGUGGCUUAGCGAAAGCGAUAAGUAAUCCACCUGGGGAGUACGCCGGCAACGGUGAAACUCAAAGGAAUUGACGGGGGCCCGCACAAGCGGAGGAGCAUGUGGUUUAAUUCGAUGAUACGCGAGGAACCUUACCAGUGCUUGAAAGUUAGUGACCGACUCUGAAAGGAGUCUUU
This 607-nucleotide ribosomal RNA is filed under the name uncultured bacterium. RNAcentral describes it as "bacterial SSU rRNA". It matches the Rfam family "Bacterial small subunit ribosomal RNA", at positions 413 to 1015 of the family's 1533-position model. The record is from RNAcentral.